GUGAGUCAUCGAGUCUUUGAACACACAUUGCGCUCUCUAGUAUUCUGGAGAGCAUGCUUGUUUGAGUAUCAGUAAACACCUCAAUCCCCUAAAUCUUGAAAAAGAAAGGGAAUUGGACUUGAGCUAUCCCAACAAACGUAAAACUUUGGCGGGUCGCUUGAAAUGCAGGUGCAGCUGGAACUACUCUUCUGAGCUAUAAGCAUAUCUAUUUAGUCCCGUCAAACGGAUUAUUAUUUUUUUUGCUGCAGCUAACAUAAAGGAAAAGUAGAUCCGCUAUGCUGACUGAUGCAGGAAUUAGCAGUGAACGUCUCUUUGAGGCGCUUACUGUGAAACUCGAUCUCAAAUCAAGUAAGACUACCCGCUGAACUUAAGCAUAUCAAUAAGCGGAGG
Molecule: ribosomal RNA, 390 nt
Filed under: uncultured fungus
Lineage: Eukaryota; Fungi
Description: eukaryotic LSU rRNA
Rfam family: Eukaryotic large subunit ribosomal RNA (bases 335-390)
Source: RNAcentral